Molecule: ribosomal RNA, 472 nt
Filed under: uncultured bacterium
Lineage: Bacteria
Description: bacterial SSU rRNA
Rfam family: Bacterial small subunit ribosomal RNA
Source: RNAcentral
CCAGGUCUUGACAUCCUCUGACACUCCUAGAGAUAGGACUUUCCCCUUCGGGGGACAGAGUGACAGGUGGUGCAUGGUUGUCGUCAGCUCGUGUCGUGAGAUGUUGGGUUAAGUCCCGCAACGAGCGCAACCCUUGAUCUUAGUUGCCAGCAUUCAGUUGGGCACUCUAAGGUGACUGCCGGUGACAAACCGGAGGAAGGUGGGGAUGACGUCAAAUCAUCAUGCCCCUUAUGACCUGGGCUACACACGUGCUACAAUGGAUGGUACAAAGGGCAGCGAAGCCGCGAGGUGAAGCCAAUCCCAUAAAACCAUUCUCAGUUCGGAUUGCAGGCUGCAACUCGCCUGCAUGAAGCCGGAAUCGCUAGUAAUCGCGGAUCAGCAUGCCGCGGUGAAUACGUUCCCGGGCCUNNUACACACCGCCCGUCACACCACGAGAGUUUGCAACACCCGAAGUCGGUGGGGUAACCGUAAG